AUUGAACGCUGGCGGCAGGCCUAACACAUGCAAGUCGAGCGGGAGUAGCAAUACUCUAGCGGCGAACGGGUGAGGAAUGCUUGGGAAUCUGCCUAGUAGUGGGGGAUAACGUUCGGAAACGGACGCUAAUACCGCAUACGUCCUACGGGAGAAAGGGGGGAGUCUUCGGACCUCUCGCUAUUAGAUGAGCCCAACGCGGGAUUAGCUAGUUGGUGAGGUAAUGGCUCACCAAGGCGACGAUCCCUAGCUGGUCUGAGAGGAUGAUCAGCCACACUGGAACUGAGACACGGUCCAGACUCCUACGGGAGGCAGCAGUGGGGAAUAUUGGACAAUGGGCGAAAGCCUGAUCCAGCCAUGCCGCGUGUGUGAAGAAGGCCUUAGGGUUGUAAAGACACUUUAAGCGAGGAGGAAGGUUCGUCACCUAAUACGUGGCGAAAUUGACGUUACUCGCAGAAUAAGCACCGGCUAACUCUGUGCCAGCAGCCGCGGUAAAG
This 494-nucleotide ribosomal RNA is filed under the name uncultured bacterium. RNAcentral describes it as "bacterial SSU rRNA". It matches the Rfam family "Bacterial small subunit ribosomal RNA", at positions 30 to 525 of the family's 1533-position model. The record is from RNAcentral.